UACGUAGGGGGCAAGCGUUGUCCGGAUUUAUUGGGCGUAAAGAGCGUGUAGGCGGCUUGGCAAGUCCGCUGUGAAAACUCGAGGCUCAACCUCGAGACGUCGGUUGAAACCGUACGGCUAGAGUCCGGAAGAGGAGAGUGGAAUUCCCGGUGUAGCGGUGAAAUGCGCAGAUAUCGGGAAGAACACCCGUGGCGAAGGCGGCUCUCUGGGACGGUACUGACGCUGAGACGCGAAAGCGUGGGGAGCAAACAGG
This 253-nucleotide ribosomal RNA is filed under the name uncultured bacterium. RNAcentral describes it as "partial 16S ribosomal RNA". It matches the Rfam family "Bacterial small subunit ribosomal RNA", at positions 524 to 776 of the family's 1533-position model. The record is from RNAcentral.